UGUCACGGGGCAGCACUACACCCCAGAUGAGAUAGACUUUUUCCAAAACGGCGAAAAAGUGACGUCGGAAAAACGAAGGGGUGUAAAAUUGUUAAAAAAUUUAUCAAUUGUUCAUAGGACGUUUUCUAGUAUUUUGAGCAUAGAUAAAGCAACCAUGGAAGAUAGUGGUGUGUAUGUUUGUAGGUCGUCCAAUAUGCAAAUUGCUCAUACAAAAGUCCACGUUUUAAACGCGGAGACGUCCAAUAAAAAGCGAGGGACAUAUCAUGGCGGGUAUACUGACGAACACGUAUCAAAUGGGCAGCUGAAGUCAUUUACGUUAAUUAUAAGGCAGCCGAUAUUCGAGUGUAUUUGCUUGUGUAAUUUGCUGAUGUUCAAACAUUUCUACACAUGAAAUGAAGAUAAAAUAACCCCAGACAGAGAAAUAGUUGGAUCAGCAAGGCAUUAAACACGAUUGCCAGCUUACAGCUUUUAUUUCGGUCUUGGCUUUGACGUUUUCAACACAACCCGUGGAAUAAAAACAAGCAAAUGUGCCACGUGCUAAACGAAAUGCAUACUACACCAGGGAAUACAACACAUUUCCAAUGACACGUUCACAACUCUGAAUUUCUUCCCGAUGGUGCUGAAGAUAGUUCGUUAUCAAAAUAUAGCCUAUGAAUCGUACCCGAAUUCAGCUAUCGAUAGUAUACAAACAUGUCAGUCAUUGAAAUGUGUGUUUACUCCGAAACGUUUUCAAAAACGAAUUUGCGUCGGCUAAUUUCAUAAACAAUAAAUGGUGUUCUACAUUUAUUCCUGCAAUACAGUUAGUUGUAUGGCUUAUAUUGAGCCUAUAAUAAUUAUGUAUACUUUAUGGUCUUAUAAAAUAAGCUGUAUAUUCAUGAAACAAGGAUUUACUAUUUCUUCUUAUGGCAUCGAGGCAAGCAAAAGUAUCUUGCUAUCACGUUUCAUGGCGGCCACAAGGAUCGACAGAUGCUUUUGUAAUACAAGUUCGUUUAUGUCUGGACAAAUCUUAUUGCAUAAUUGACCCGUUUUAUAGAGAUAUAUAAAACUUAUUUAUCGAUUGU
Dreissena polymorpha is the source of this 1061-nucleotide long non-coding RNA. RefSeq lists it as uncharacterized. Lineage: Eukaryota; Metazoa; Mollusca; Bivalvia; Myida; Dreissenidae. The transcript has 3 exons. The record is from RefSeq and is a predicted model, not a curated record.